Molecule: unclassified non-coding RNA, 311 nt
Organism: Tupaia belangeri (northern tree shrew)
Lineage: Eukaryota; Metazoa; Chordata; Mammalia; Scandentia; Tupaiidae
Gene: 7SK
Rfam family: 7SK RNA
About the family: 7SK was discovered as an abundant small nuclear RNA in the mid-70s but a possible function has only recently been suggested. Two independent studies have found that 7SK RNA binds the CDK9/cyclin T complex (known as elongation factor P-TEFb).
Source: Ensembl
GAAUGUGAGGGUGAUGUGUCUGUGACAUCUAUCACCCCAUUGACCACCAGGGACUAGGCUGAUCUGGCAGGCUAGGUGGAUGUCCCCUUUCCCUCACAAUUUCAUGUGCAUUCCUCCCAAAGCUAAGGCCUUGGAUGAAGAGGAAGACCUUUUCUGACAGAGGAGGGCUAUUCUUUGGUCAAGGGCAUAUGAGUAGAACCUCUAAACAAAUUCUUGAGGUCCUAUUGUAGGAGAAUGUAGGGUAGUCAAGCUUCCAAGACUCCAGGCACAUUCAAAUGAGAUUUUGCAUGUGUCAGCCUUUUAUAAAAUUU